UAGGGAAUCUUCGGCAAUGGACGAAAGUCUGACCGAGCAACGCCGCGAGUGUGAAGAAGGUUUUCGGAUCGUAAAACUCUGUUGUUAGAGAAGAACAAGGACGUUAGUAACUGAACGUCCCCUGACGGUAUCUAACCAGAAAGCCACGGCUAACUACGUGCCAGCAGCCGCGGUAAUACGUAGGUGGCAAGCGUUGUCCGGAUUUAUUGGGCGUAAAGCGAGCGUAGGCGGUUUCUUAAGUCUGAUGUGAAAGCCCCCGGCUCAACCGGGGAGGGUCAUUGGAAACUGGGGGGCUUGAGUGCAGAAGAGGAGAGUGGAAUUCCAUGUGUAGCGGUGAAAUGCGUAGAUAUAUGGAGGAACACCAGUGGCGAAGGCGGCGCUCUGGUCUGUAACUGACGCUGAGGCUCGAAAGCGUGGGGAGCAAACAGG
Molecule: ribosomal RNA, 429 nt
Filed under: Gemmatimonadota bacterium
Lineage: Bacteria; Pseudomonadati; Gemmatimonadota
Description: Gemmatimonadetes bacterium partial 16S ribosomal RNA
Rfam family: Bacterial small subunit ribosomal RNA
Source: RNAcentral